GAUGAAGAACGUAGCGAAAUGCGAUAAGUAAUGUGAAUUGCAGAAUUCAGUGAAUCAUCGAAUCUUUGAACGCACAUUGCGCCCGCCAGUAUUCUGGCGGGCAUGCCUGUUCGAGCGUCAUUACAACCCUCAGGCCCCCGGACCUGGCGUUGGGGAUCGGCGGAGCCCCCCGUGGGCACACGCCGUCCCCCAAAUGCAGUGGCGGUCCCGCCGCAGCUUCCAUCGCGUAGUAGCUAACACCUCGCGACUGGAGAGCGGCGCGGCCACGCCGUAAAACACCCAACUCUUCUGAAGUUGACCUCGAAUCAGGUAGGAAUACCCGCUGAACUUAAGCAUAUCAAUAAGCGGAGGA
RNAcentral lists this unclassified non-coding RNA (352 nucleotides) under soil metagenome. RNAcentral describes it as "partial contains 5.8S ribosomal RNA, internal transcribed spacer 2, and large subunit ribosomal RNA". The stretch from base 1 to 120 matches the Rfam family "5.8S ribosomal RNA", at positions 35 to 154 of the family's 154-position model. The record is from RNAcentral.